RNAcentral lists this ribosomal RNA (465 nucleotides) under Vreelandella stevensii. RNAcentral's name for it is "partial 16S ribosomal RNA". It matches the Rfam family "Bacterial small subunit ribosomal RNA", at positions 338 to 795 of the family's 1533-position model. Lineage: Bacteria; Pseudomonadati; Pseudomonadota; Gammaproteobacteria; Oceanospirillales; Halomonadaceae. The record is from RNAcentral.
CCUACGGGCGGCUGCAGUGGGGAAUAUUGGACAAUGGGCGAAAGCCUGAUCCAGCCAUGCCGCGUGUGUGAAGAAGGUCUUCGGGUUGUAAAGCACUUUCAGUGGGGAAGAAAGCCUUGGGGCUAAUACCCUCGAGGAAGGACAUCACCCACAGAAGAAGCACCGGCUAACUCCGUGCCAGCAGCCGCGGUAAUACGGAGGGUGCGAGCGUUAAUCGGAAUUACUGGGCGUAAAGCGCGCGUAGGCGGUCUGAUAAGCCGGUUGUGAAAGCCCCGGGCUCAACCCGGGAACGGCAUCCGGAACUGUCAGGCUAGAGUGCAGGAGAGGAAGGUAGAAUUCCCGGUGUAGCGGUGAAAUGCGUAGAGAUCGGGAGGAAUACCAGUGGCGAAGGCGGCCUUCUGGACUGACACUGACGCUGAGGUGCGAAAGCGUGGGUAGCAAACAGGAUUAGAUACCCGAGUAGUC